UUCCGGUUGAUCCCGCCGGAGGCUACCGCUAUUGGAGUUCGAUUAAGCCAUGCGAGUCGCGAGUCUUAGGGACUCGGCGUACCGCUCAGUAACACGUGGGUAACCUGCCCUAUGCUGGGGGAUAACCUCGGGAAACUGAGAAUAAUACCCCAUAGUUCACCACGCCUGGAACGGUGGGUGGACCAAAGCUCCGGCGGCAUAGGAUGGGCCUGCGGCGUAUCAGGUUGUAGGGGGUGUAAUGUACCCUCUAGCCCUCUACGCGUACGGGUGUUGAGAGACAUCGCCCGGAGAUGGAUUCUGAGACACGAAUCCAGACCCUACGGGGUGCAGCAGGCGCGAAAACUUGGCAAUGCGAGAAAUCGUGACCAGGGAACUCCAAGUGCAUCGGGUAAGACCGAUGCUUUUCUUGACUCUUCAAAGGUCUUGGAAUAAGGGGUGGGUAAGGACGGUGCCAGCCGCCGCGGUAAUACCGGCGCCCCAAGUGGUAGUCGCUUUUAUUGGGCCUAAAACGUCCGUAGCCGGUCUGGUACAUUCGUGGGUAAAUCAACCAGCUCAACUGGUUGAAUUCUGCGAGCACGGCCAGACUUGGGACCGGGAGAGGUGUGGGGUACUCUCAGGGUAGGGGUAAAAUCCUGUCAUCCUGAGAGGACCACCUGUUGCGAAGGCGCCACACUAGAACGGAUCCGACGGUCAGGGACGAAGCCUAGGGGCACGAACCGGAUUAGAUACCCGGGUAGUCCUAGGUGUAAACGCUGUGGACUUGAUGUUGGGGGCGCUCCGAGCGCACUCAGUGUCGAAGCGAAGGUGAUAAGUCCACUGCCUGGGGAGUACGGUCGCAAGGCUGAAACUUAAAGGAAUUGGCGGGGGAGCACCGCAACCUGAGGAUUGUGCGGUUUAAUUGGAUUCAACGCCGG
RNAcentral lists this ribosomal RNA (914 nucleotides) under uncultured marine archaeon. RNAcentral describes it as "bacterial SSU rRNA". It matches the Rfam family "Archaeal small subunit ribosomal RNA", at positions 1 to 921 of the family's 1478-position model. The record is from RNAcentral. RNAcentral also lists the same sequence under 1 other name.